Molecule: long non-coding RNA, 576 nt
Organism: Notothenia coriiceps (black rockcod)
Lineage: Eukaryota; Metazoa; Chordata; Actinopteri; Perciformes; Nototheniidae
Exons: 2
Source: RefSeq, a predicted model, not a curated record
AGCAUAUGGCACUAUUGAAGAAGAUAAUGCCUCAUUUUCACCUUUAAACACACACAUUAUACAGUGUAGUGCUUUGAAAAGACAUCUUUGCUACCACAGUGCUCGUCCAACAGGUUCUUUAGGGCCAAAUAUGGCUGUUAUCAGCGGCCGCAGCAUGACUGCAGUUCAGAGCAACUGAAAGUGUCAGAGGAAGACAGAUUAAAACCAGCAGCUGUAAGAAAACCAUUGAGAAAAAAUGUGUUUGUCUUCCUCUCACGACGACCUCGACUCACCCACUCACAUCCUGCAUAUCUAAUCCACUCAAGACGGAAGUGAAGAAUGAGAAGAGGAGAAUAUGAGGAUGAGGAGCGUCUUGUGAUGAGAUGAGACUCUCAGAGAGGAUGGAGGACAGAAACACAGCCAUGAUCGUGUUGCUCCUGCUCUGCGUCACAGCAGAGAUGCGGGUAGACGGCUUCUCUGUGGAUGUGUGUGCUAGCUGCCAUCCUAAAGCUACAUGUGACGAAAAGUCAGACGGAUCUGGAAAAGUCUGUAACUGCAUGUACGGGUUCGUUGGCAAUGGGAGAACUUUUUGUCAAG